This 75-nucleotide transfer RNA is filed under the name Aeromonas phage APT65. RNAcentral's name for it is "tRNA-His". It matches the Rfam family "tRNA". From Rfam's summary of the family: Transfer RNA (tRNA) molecules are approximately 80 nucleotides in length. Their secondary structure includes four short double-helical elements and three loops (D, anti-codon, and T loops). The record is from RNAcentral. Lineage: Duplodnaviria; Heunggongvirae; Uroviricota; Caudoviricetes; Grimontviridae.
GUGACAGUAACUCAGUUGGUAGAGUCCCAGACUGUGAUUCUGGUUUGCGCGAGUUCGAAUCUCGUCUGUCACCCC